Molecule: ribosomal RNA, 204 nt
Filed under: uncultured bacterium
Lineage: Bacteria
Description: partial 16S ribosomal RNA
Rfam family: Bacterial small subunit ribosomal RNA
Source: RNAcentral
CGUAGGCGGCCCGCCAAGUCCGGGGUGAAAUCCUCCCGCCCAACGGGAGAAGUGCCUUGGAUACUGGCGGGCUCGAGCGGGGUAGGGGCAUGUGGAACUUCCGGUGGAGCGGUGAAAUGCGUAGAUAUCGGAAGGAACGCCGGUGGCGAAAGCGACGUGCUGGACCCCCCCUGACGCUGAGGCGCGAAAGCCAGGGGAGCGAAC